Molecule: ribosomal RNA, 818 nt
Filed under: uncultured bacterium
Lineage: Bacteria
Description: bacterial SSU rRNA
Rfam family: Bacterial small subunit ribosomal RNA
Source: RNAcentral
AACACAUGCAAGUCGAACGGCAGCACAGCCGUAGCAAUACGGUGGGUGGCGAGUGGCGGACGGGUGAGUAAUGCAUCGGGACCUACCUGAACGUGGGGGAUAACGUAGGGAAACUUACGCUAAUACCGCAUACGUCCUACGGGAGAAAGCGGGGGACCUUCGGGCCUCGCGCGGUCAGACGGACCGAUGUUCGAUUAGCUAGUUGGUAGGGUAAUGGCCUACCAAGGCGACGAUCGAUAGCUGGUCUGAGAGGAUGAUCAGCCACAUUGGAACUGAGACACGGUCCAGACUCCUACGGGAGGCAGCAGUGGGGAAUAUUGGACAAUGGGCGCAAGCCUGAUCCAGCAAUGCCGCGUGUGUGAAGAAGGCCUUCGGGUUGUAAAGCACUUUUAUCGGGAGCGAAAUACCAUUGGCUAAUAACCGAUGGGGCCGACGGUACCCGAGGAAUAAGCACCGGCUAACUUCGUGCCAGCAGCCGCGGUAAUACGAAGGGUGCAAGCGUUAAUCGGAAUUACUGGGCGUAAAGGGUGCGUAGGCGGUUAGUUAAGUCUGUCGUGAAAUCCCCGGGCUCAACCUGGGAAUGGCGAUGGAUACUGGCUAGCUAGAGUGUGUCAGAGGAUGGUGGAAUUUCCGGUGUAGCGGUGAAAUGCGUAGAGAUCGGAAGGAACAUCAGUGGCGAAGGCGGCCAUCUGGGACAACACUGACGCUGAAGCACGAAAGCGUGGGGAGCAAACAGGAUUAGAUACCCUGGUAGUCCACGCCCUAAACGAUGCGAACUGGAUGUUGGUCUCAACUCGGAGAUCAGUGUCGAAGCUAAC